RNAcentral lists this ribosomal RNA (401 nucleotides) under uncultured bacterium. RNAcentral's name for it is "partial 16S ribosomal RNA". It matches the Rfam family "Archaeal small subunit ribosomal RNA", at positions 473 to 873 of the family's 1478-position model. The record is from RNAcentral.
AUACGGAGGCUGCGAGCGUUAUCCGGAUUUAUUGGGUCUAAAGGGUCCGUAGCCGGUUUGGUCAGUCCUCCGGGAAAUCUGAUAGCUCAACUAUUAGGCUUUCGGGGGAUACUGCCAGACUUGGAACCGGGAGAGGUAAGAGGUACUAUGGGGGUAGGAGUGACAUCUUGUAAUCCCUGUGGGACCACCUGUGGCGAAGGCGUCUUACCAGAACGGGUUCGACGGUGAGGGACGAAAGCUGGGGGCACGAACCGGAUUAGAUACCCGGGUAGUCCCAGCCGUAAACGAUGCUCGCUAGGUGUCAGGCAUGGCGCGACCGUGUCUGGUGCUGCAGGGAAGCCGUGAAGCGAGCCACCUGGGAAGUACGGCCGCAAGGCUGAAACUUAAAUGAAUUGGCGGGG